This is a microRNA precursor of Oryza rufipogon (brownbeard rice), 198 nucleotides long. It matches the Rfam family "MIR812 microRNA precursor family". The record is from Rfam. NCBI's taxonomy places the organism in Eukaryota, Viridiplantae, Streptophyta, Magnoliopsida, Poales, Poaceae.
AAUAAAUGUAGUUUUACACUAUUCACGUUCAACGUUUGACCGUUCGUUUUAUUUGAAAUUUUUUUAUGAUUAGUAUUUUUAUUGCUAUUAGAUGAUAAAACAUUAAUAGUACUUUAUGUGUGACUAAAUAUUUUCAAAUUUUUUCAAAUAAGACGGACGGUCAAACAUUAAGCACAGAUAUCUAUGUCUGUAUUUAUU